GGAAUAUUGGACAAUGGGCGCAAGCCUGAUCCAGCGACGCCGCGUGCGUGAAGAAGGCCUGCGGGUUGUAAAGCACUUUUAGUGGGGAUGAAAAGCCAAGGGCUAAUACCUUUUGGUCUUGACCUAACCCAAAGAAAAAGCACCGGCUAACUCUGUGCCAGCAGCCGCGGUAAUACAGAGGGUGCAAGCGUUAAUCGGAAUUACUGGGCGUAAAGCGUGCGUAGUCGGCUUUUCAAGUCGGGUGUGAAAGCCCCGGGCUCAACCUGGGAAUUGCAUUCGAUACUGGAUCGCUAGAGUUCGGCAGAGGGAAGCGGAAUUUCGGGUGUAGCGGUGAAAUGCGUAGAUAUCCGAAGGAACAUCAGUGGCGAAAGCGGCUUCCUGGACCAGAACUGACGAUCAGGCACGAAAGCGUGGGGAGCAA
RNAcentral lists this ribosomal RNA (421 nucleotides) under uncultured bacterium. RNAcentral's name for it is "bacterial SSU rRNA". It matches the Rfam family "Bacterial small subunit ribosomal RNA", at positions 358 to 771 of the family's 1533-position model. The record is from RNAcentral.